This is a long non-coding RNA of Hemicordylus capensis (graceful crag lizard), 462 nucleotides long. RefSeq lists it as uncharacterized. Lineage: Eukaryota; Metazoa; Chordata; Lepidosauria; Squamata; Cordylidae. The record is from RefSeq and is a predicted model, not a curated record. The transcript has 2 exons.
GAGCCAGCCGAGCGGGACAGCGCCCGAACGCCUGAGACACAGUCUCCGGUCAGCGCAUGCGCUCUGAGCUCGGCGUCACCUCUCGUUCGUGCUGAAAGUUUGGCGCAGGCGCACAUUUUGCCCGCCGGAACGAAGGAGGGGCGAGAAGAGGCCGAGGUGGGGGAGCUCAGCCCUUUGUUUUUGAGACACCCUUGAAGGCGGAUCUUCCUUUUAGAGAGGACUUUUAAUGUUUUAUCGUCUUUAAUAGUCGGUUUCUUUGUUUUUAGCCUUUUAUCUAUAACUCUUAAUUUGAAAGUUUUAAAAUUCGGAACUUUUAAAUUUAAUUUAUGUACACAUACACACAUUGUUAUAUGGGCCUAUUUUGUUAAUGUUCUGUAAGCCACCCCAAUCAGUAGUUUACUGGCGGGGUGGGACAUAAAUAUAAAUAAAUAAAUAAAAAUUUGUUCUUCUUUGUUUAUUUUG